Non-coding RNA from Phalacrocorax carbo (great cormorant), 2138 nucleotides. The record is from RefSeq and is a predicted model, not a curated record. Lineage: Eukaryota; Metazoa; Chordata; Aves; Suliformes; Phalacrocoracidae.
GCAGGCGUGGCGCGGGCCCGCCUCUUCCCCUGGCGUCCUGCGCGGUGAUUGGCCCCUCGGGCGUCCUGGGCGGUAGCGGGCGCGCGGCGCGGGCAUUUGAACGGUAACGGCCGCGCGGGGCGGUGAGGGGUGAAGUGGGUAUCAGGGUUUGGAGGGAGUUGUGUCUGUCUCUCUCCCUCGGGUGUAGCUGCCGGGUCCUCCCCCACCCUAUUCCUCCCGUCUCCGUGGGUGCCUUCUUCCCCUCCGUCGUUGGCGCCGUCCCGCCCCCCCCGAGUGCCCUCCCCGGGAGCGCCCCCCGCGAUCGCGCCCCCCCUCCCCGCAGCCCCGGUGCGGAGCUGCAGCAAAGGUACUUCCCUUCCGACGAGCCUGCUGGAGUGGAAAAGCACAAACGGUGGCUACGCUUUGUCCUUGCAGGCGCGGAGCGGAAUAGCGAGGUCCCUCUUCCUCUCAGAAUGGCUGCAGGUGGCUAUGAGGAAAUCCUCAAGUACUACGAAUUGCGUGAAACAAUUGGGACAGGUAGGCUUCAUCUGAACGCACACAGGUGCGUGCGAUCUGCCUAACCGCUGGAGUACUUACCUGAGCGCAGACUCACUGUUACCCCGGAAUCUACAGGCCGUGUUUCAAGCGUGUCUCUCAGGGGACAGAACGCUGUGAGUGGAGGUCGGUAGCAGCGAUCGCUUCUCCCUCUAGCGAAGAUGCUGCGCGCUGUGUGCGCUACGGACUCCAGCGUAACUGAGACUGUAGGCCAGAAAGCGUGACAUCGCUCUUAAGCGUCUCUUGUUUGAAGUCUAGGUGGGUUUGCAAAGGUAAAACUUGCGGAACAUCUUCUCACCGGUGAAAAAGUUGCACUAAAAAUCACGGAUAAACUUGCUCUAGGGGUAAGCCAAAAGAUACUUAACAGUCGGUAGCGUCUUCUGCUGUUCCUGUGGCGUUCUCGAGAACAGAGGGGCGCGACACGUCAGUGCCGCCUGCUUGUCCUGUUGGUUAUCGACUGAUGCUGUAGACUGGGAAGAGCGUUAAUAGAAGACCACAAAUCUUGUGCUCUGUUGUGGAGAGGGCAACCUUCUCUGGCUGUAAAAUUGAGGAAGUUAAAGAUGAUUACAGUAAUUGAAACAGAAUGCUGGUGAGGAUGCUAACUAUUUUACACCUGCCCCUCUGGGUUUUGCUGCUCGGUGUGCCAGAACUGUAGGGCAGUAACAGCAGAGCUGUUGCUGGAUUGAAUCUGAGCAGCUGAAUUGUAUGCUGUCAUCUCCGUGCUGUGAAAUUGUGUGUCUCCCAAUAGCCUGACGCUUGCUGUGACGUCCGGGCUGUCCAGGUAGUCGGCAAUUUCAUACCUUGCUGUUGCCGUCUCUUGGGAUGAUUUGCCUCGUGUUAAGGUAGAAAUUGAGGCCACAAAGGACUUAGGUCACCAGCAUAUUUGCCAGUUGUAUCACGUGAUAGAGACAUCCAGGAAAAUAUUCAUGGUCUUAGAGUACUGUCCUGGAGGAGAGCUGCUUGAUUAUGUAAUUUCUAAGGACCGCCUUUCGGAAGAGGAAGCUCGUGUAUUUUUUCGGCAGAUUGUUUCAGCAGUUGCUUACGUUCACAGUCGGGGAUACGCCCACAGGGACCUCAAACCGGCCCUUCUCAGCAGAUGGGAGCUAGUGUUCCCCAUCUGGAAUACGGGAUAUGUUCACUAGCAGCCGGUCAAAAUCUGCAGAGGAGAGCUUUAGGAAAACCCCCUGAUUGACGAGCAACGUAACUUGAAGCUGAUAGACUUUGGACUUUGUGCAAAGCCAAAGAAGAUUUGUGUGUAUGUGGAGAUUGUGGACCGAAUCCCGGUUACGGUUAGGAAUCCUCUGGUUCCACGUGAUUGUAGCAAGUUGUUUCCCGAGUUUAAAAUUGGUUCCUAGGAGACCUUUAAAGCCAUUUGUCAGCUUAACACGUGAGGGUGGCCUUGAUUACCAUCUGAGCACGUGCUGCGGAAGCCCGGCUUAUGCAGCACCGGAGCUGAUUCAGGGCAAGGCAUAUAUUGGCUCAGAGGUACGUGGCACAGUUUUGGGUUAGGGCUCCCCCCGCACCGCCCCCCAUGUGUUUGAAGCGGUGCGGUUCAGAUACGCUCACGUAUCUGGUUUCUCUCUCGGGUACCGCUGGAUAACAUU